GAGCGAACGCUGGCGGCAGGCCUAACCCAUGCAAGUCGAACGAACUCUUCGGAGUUAGUGGCGGACGGGUGAGUAACACGUGGGAACGUGCCUUUUGGUUCGGAAUAACUCAGGGAAACUUGUGCUAAUACCGAAUGUGCCCUUCGGGGGAAAGAUUUAUCGCCAUUAGAGCGGCCCGCGUCUGAUUAGCUAGUUGGUGAGGUAACGGCUCACCAAGGCGACGAUCAGUAGCUGGUCUGAGAGGAUGACCAGCCACACUGGGACUGAGACACGGCCCAGACUCCUACGGGAGGCAGCAGUGGGGAAUCUUGCGCAAUGGGCGAAAGCCUGACGCAGCCAUGCCGCGUGAAUGAUGAAGGUCUUAGGAUUGUAAAAUUCUUUCACCGGGGACGAUAAUGACGGUACCCGGAGAAGAAGCCCCGGCUAACUUCGU
Molecule: ribosomal RNA, 433 nt
Filed under: uncultured bacterium
Lineage: Bacteria
Description: partial 16S ribosomal RNA
Rfam family: Bacterial small subunit ribosomal RNA
Source: RNAcentral